RNAcentral lists this small RNA (30 nucleotides) under Bombyx mori (domestic silkworm). RNAcentral's name for it is "ovarian small RNA-37952". The record is from RNAcentral. Lineage: Eukaryota; Metazoa; Arthropoda; Insecta; Lepidoptera; Bombycidae.
UUGCUUAGUGUAGGCAAUCGAUCAGCCUGU